ACAUACAAUCAAAGUUUACGUCAAAUGGCUCAUAAAAAAGAUGAAAAUUGUAAUAAAGAUAAAAAUAUCUAUAGGUACACAUUGAUAUCACAUUUAUAUCUACCUUUUGUUCGUACACGGUACCGUCGCUGCCCGUCGACCAGUAUGGUGUUUGUAUGCAUAUCCGUGUUGCGUGUGCGUAAAAAUUAGUGAAAAACGAAAAAGAAAUGACCUAACAAUUUAUGAUACAAUGUCAAUACUAUUACAAAAAAAAACAGACAUCAAUAAAAAAAAUUGUUCAAUGUUUGGAGAGACAGCAGUGUAAUUGGUUCGAACCACUCUUAGUAAACAGCAAUUGGUUUUCCAGAAAGCAUCAGUUCAGAUAUUCGUAAUGAGUGUACGUGUUUACCUAUAAAAAAAAUAUUCAUACCUUAUUUGACUUACCUAUUUUCUUUGUAUUAUCAAGUGUAUCAUAAGAUAAAAAAAAUAUAAUAAAUAAAAAAUAUAUUUGUAUGGGUCUAUUAAGAAUUUAAAUAUAUUAAAAUUACUAUAGAUACUCACACAUCAUAAUGGAAAAUAGUUUUCCGCAAAUAUGGAAAAUAAUAGAUAUUCACCACGGUGGUCAAAUGAAAAAAUUUAUAUUCCAAGAAAUACCAGAACAUUAUUAUGAUGAAAUUAUUAAUAAAUAUGCACAUGAAUUUUGGUCUGAAGAAAUUACAUAUCGUAGUUGUAAUUUCUUGAAUGACCCAGUAUCUGCAUUAAAUAUGAAAAAUAAAUAUAGAAAAUAUUUAGCCCAAAAAAUAUCAAUUGGCGUAUUUGAAUAUAUAGAAAAUGAUAACAAUACAUUAGUAGGUCUUAAUUUUUUAUUUCGUGAGAAUAUUAAAUCAAUGAAGAUUAUGCACUCAAUCUCAACUUACUCCGAACAAAUUUCUAAUUACCUACAAACUGUUUCCAAGAGUUAUGCUGAACAAUUAAUUGGCAAUGAAGAUUAUCUUGCAUCAGAAAUGUUAUUUGUUCAUAAAGAUUACCGCAACAUUGGCUUAGCUCUACAGCUGCUGGAAUUAAGAAAUUAUAUUGGAAAAAAAUAUAAUUUGAAAUAUACAAUCAGUUUUUUUACUAGUAGCACUGCUCAAAAAUUAGCCGAAAAAGUUGGCUUUACAAGAAAACGUGUAUAUAGUUUUAAUGAUGCAGUAGAUAAUGAAAAAAAUUAUCUAUUUCCUUUAUUAAAAGAUAAAAGUGGAACGUGUAUGAUUAAAUAUAUUUUAUAAUUGAUCGAAUAUCUAAAA
Long non-coding RNA from Acyrthosiphon pisum (pea aphid), 1265 nucleotides. RefSeq lists it as uncharacterized. The transcript has 2 exons. The record is from RefSeq and is a predicted model, not a curated record. NCBI's taxonomy places the organism in Eukaryota, Metazoa, Arthropoda, Insecta, Hemiptera, Aphididae.